Molecule: long non-coding RNA, 674 nt
Organism: Capsicum annuum
Lineage: Eukaryota; Viridiplantae; Streptophyta; Magnoliopsida; Solanales; Solanaceae
Exons: 2
Source: RefSeq, a predicted model, not a curated record
GCUCUCUUUUUCUCUCACAAGAAGAACUUGGACGGAGUUUGCUUUCUCUUUUGUAUUUUUAAAGUUUAUUUUGAUAUUAAUAUCAAAGUUCAACUUUUAAGUUGUGUCUUUUUCAUUUACUUUACUAACUUAUCUUUUUAGUGUUCUUUUUUGUCAUUUUAUAUAUUGUACAAUCAAUGUACAGACUUCAUUCGAUGCUGCAUCAUUUCACGAUUCAGAUUUAGGUACACAAAUUCAUAAUCAGGCACAUCGUUGAGUUCAUCACUUCCAGCUUCUGGUAGUUCGCUCGGAUUAGCAAUGACAUCGGGUGUCAGCUACAUCAAGGUUAGGCGUGGGGCAUGACAUGAGUACACGUAAAUUUGUACUAGAACUUGUAUAUUUCUGCAGCUUGUUGUGUAGGUUAUUAGAGUACUACCUCCGAUCGGUGAGAGAUAGAUGUAUUUGGAGUACUUCCUCUCGAGGUCUCAAGGUUGCUUCCUGGGUGAGUGAGGGUAAAACUAAUUUUGUUUUUUUAACUUGUCCAAAAAAGACACAUUACUUUUCUACCUGUAGCAUUUACUUUUAUACCUGUCGCAUGCCACUACGGCACCGCCUCCUCUAUCUAUGUAAUUUGGGAAAGAUGUUCAAUAGGAAAACAAAGGAGCACGUGGGAGAGAGGGAUCAUUUUAAUUUUA